CGGUCACGUUCGUUGCUUUAAGAGCCUAAUCGCAUGAGUUAAUGCAUAAGGAACAAAGACGCGCGCUACUCAAAUGCUAUGAGCAAAUGAGAGGGGUCAAGUCUAUGCUAAAACUUAACAACAUGCAUUUAUGAAUAUAGGCCCUUAGUGAAACGCAAUUAAGCAGACAGAUCACUCCACGAACUAAGAACGGCCAUGCACCACCUAUCACAUAAUCAUGAAAGGACUAGCAUCUUUAACAGAGCAUGCGCGUAGAACUGUUAAUUAAAACAGAAUCCCACUGCAGCUCAUAACGCCAGUCAAUCCUCAGUGUGUCCGGACCCGGUAAGAUUUCCCGCGUUGGGUCAAAUUAAGCCACAUGCUCCACGCGUUCUUGUGGUGCCCUUCCGUCAAUUCCUU
This 399-nucleotide ribosomal RNA is filed under the name Foraminifera environmental sample. RNAcentral's name for it is "partial small subunit ribosomal RNA". Lineage: Eukaryota; Foraminifera. The record is from RNAcentral.